UACACGACCGUACCGCAAACCGACACUGGUGCGCGAGAUGAGUAUUCUAAGGCGCUUGAGAGAACUCAGGAGAAGGAACUCGGCAAAUUGACACCGUAACUUCGGAAGAAGGUGUGCCUUUAGUAGGUGAAGUCCCUCGCGGAUGGAGCCCAAUGAGGUUGCAAAAAAUCGGUGGCUGCGACUGUUUAUUAAAAACACAGCACUCUGCAAACACGAAAGUGGACGUAUAGGGUGUGACGCCUGCCCGGUGCUGGAAGAUUAAAUGAUGGGGUGCAAGCUCUUGAUUGAAGUCCCAGUAAACGGCGGCCGUAACGAUAACGGUCCUAAGGUAGCGAAAUUCCUUGUCGGGUAAGUUCCGACCUGCACGAAUGGCGUAACGAUGGCCACACUGUCUCCUCCUGAGACUCAGCGAAGUUGAAAUGUUUGUGAUGAUGCAAUCUCCCCGCGGAAAGACGGAAAGACCCCAUGAACCUUUACUGUAGCUUUGUAUUGGACUUUGAACAGAUCUGUGUAGGAUAGGUGGGAGGCUUUGAAGCAGGGUCGCUAGAUCUUGUGGAGCCAACGUUGAAAUACCACCCUGGUGUGUUUGAGGUUCUAACCUAGGCCCGUAAUCCGGGUUGGGGACAGUGCAUGGUAGGCAGUUUGACUGGGGCGGUCUCCUCCCAAAGUGUAACGGAGGAGUUCGAAGGUACGCUAGUUACGGUCGGACAUCGUGACGAUAGUGCAAUGGCAUAAGCGUGCUUAACUGCGAGACUGACAAGUCGAGCAGAUGCGAAAGCAGGACAUAGUGAUCCGGUGGUUCUGUAUGGAAGGGCCAUCGCUCAACGGAUAAAAGGUACUCUGGGGAUAACAGGCAUACCGCCCAAGAGUUCAUAUCGACGGCGGUGUUUGGCACCUCGAUGUCGGCUCAUCUCAUCCUGGGGCUGUAGCCGGUCCCAAGGGUAUGGCUGUUCGCCAUUUAAAGAGGUACGUGAGCUGGGUUUAAAACGUCGUGAGACAGUUUGGUCCCUAUCUUCCGUGGGCGCUGCAGAUUUGAGGAAGCCUGCUCCUAGUACGAGAGGACCGGAGUGGACGCACCUCUGGUGUAUCGGUUGUCACGCCAGUGGCAUUGCCGAGUAGCUAUGUGCGGAAGAGAUAACCGCUGAAAGCAUCUAAGCGGGAAACUCGUUUCAAGAUGAGAUCUGCCGGGGCCUUGAGCCCCCUGAAGAGUCGUUCAAGACCAGGACGUUGAUAGGUCGGGUGUGGAAGCGCAGUAAUGCGUUAAGCUAACCGAUACUAAUUGCUCGUGCGGCUUGACCAA
Molecule: ribosomal RNA, 1300 nt
Filed under: metagenome
Description: bacterial LSU rRNA
Rfam family: Bacterial large subunit ribosomal RNA
Source: RNAcentral